Molecule: long non-coding RNA, 209 nt
Filed under: Panicum hallii
Lineage: Eukaryota; Viridiplantae; Streptophyta; Magnoliopsida; Poales; Poaceae
Description: long non-coding RNA (PHAL_LNC000111)
Source: RNAcentral
GAUGGUUGGUCUUCCUGAACUCUUUGAGCAGGAGCUUUGGACUCUACGAGGUAUUGGGUGCUUGCCCUAUUGAGAGUAUCUUACAUUCUCUCUUCACCAGACAGAUAGACAAAUAGGCAAUCCGAUAGAAAGAUUAUGGCUUCCUUACUAUCAGCAAGCUCCCACAGGCGAUGAACUGCUUCCGACUUCUUCUUCGCUCUUCUCUUUCC